RNAcentral lists this unclassified non-coding RNA (403 nucleotides) under Hevea brasiliensis (rubber tree). Lineage: Eukaryota; Viridiplantae; Streptophyta; Magnoliopsida; Malpighiales; Euphorbiaceae. The record is from RNAcentral.
UUAGAAAAAGUCCAAGACUUCGUGGGGUGUUCAAUCUUGUGUGUUCCCUAGUCCUUGUGUUUAUGUUCUACAACCGUGAAGAUAUUGUGAGCAAUCCAAUUAUAAAGAAGUCAUCUUUAGUUUCUAGUCAGUGGAACCCAAGCAGUAGAUUUGAUGGUUAUUCUUCACAUACCCGAGUGGUUCGUCGAGGGAUGUUAGAAGUGAACGGGUCGGAUGCUGAUGAUUUGGUGGUAAAAAAGCCUCAGUUAUGUGCAGGAUUGUUUGAUCAUGUGGGGUUUAAAAGUAGUUGUGACUUCUUGAAAGUUCACCCGGAUUGCUCGUCUGGAGGGUUCUUUGAUUACCUUAAGUUCUAUUACUGUGGUUGUAAUGGAAGUGCGUGGGCGUUUGUAGUAUUUGGUGUCUG